Molecule: ribosomal RNA, 465 nt
Filed under: Vreelandella stevensii
Lineage: Bacteria; Pseudomonadati; Pseudomonadota; Gammaproteobacteria; Oceanospirillales; Halomonadaceae
Description: partial 16S ribosomal RNA
Rfam family: Bacterial small subunit ribosomal RNA
Source: RNAcentral
CCUACGGGGGGCAGCAGUGGGGAAUCUUGGACAAUGGGCGAAAGCCUGAUCCAGCCAUGCCGCGUGUGUGAAGAAGGCCUUCGGGUUGUAAAGCACUUUCAGUGGGGAAGAAAGCCUUGGGGCUAAUACCCUCGAGGAAGGACAUCACCCACAGAAGAAGCACCGGCUAACUCCGUGCCAGCAGCCGCGGUAAUACGGAGGGUGCGAGCGUUAAUCGGAAUUACUGGGCGUAAAGCGCGCGUAGGCGGUCUGAUAAGCCGGUUGUGAAAGCCCCGGGCUCAACCUGGGAACGGCAUCCGGAACUGUCAGGCUAGAGUGCAGGAGAGGAAGGUAGAAUUCCCGGUGUAGCGGUGAAAUGCGUAGAGAUCGGGAGGAAUACCAGUGGCGAAGGCGGCCUUCUGGACUGACACUGACGCUGAGGUGCGAAAGCGUGGGUAGCAAACAGGAUUAGAUACCCCUGUAGUC